GAUAAACGCUGGCGGCGUGCCUAACACAUGCAAGUCGAACGAUCCCGCAAGGGAGAGUGGCGGAAGGGUGAGUAACACGUGGGAAUCUACCUCCUCGCAGGGAACAACCUCUCGAAAGAGAGGCUAAUACCCAAAGGGUACAGAAAUGAUCAGAGUCGAAAGGCGUGAGGAGAGGAGCCCGCGGCCCAUCAGCUAGUUGGUGAGGUAAUGGCUUACCAAGGCUACGACGGGUAGGGGAUCUGAGAGGAUGUCCCCCACACUGGAACUGAACAACGGUCCAGGCGCCUACGGGUGGGCAGCAGUGAGGAAUAUUGGACAAUGGGCGAAAGCCCGAUCCAGCAACGCCGCGUGGAGGAUGAAGGCCUUCGGGUC
This 372-nucleotide ribosomal RNA is filed under the name uncultured bacterium. RNAcentral's name for it is "bacterial SSU rRNA". It matches the Rfam family "Bacterial small subunit ribosomal RNA", at positions 28 to 424 of the family's 1533-position model. The record is from RNAcentral.